RNAcentral lists this transfer RNA (71 nucleotides) under Camelus bactrianus (Bactrian camel). It matches the Rfam family "tRNA". Rfam says of the family: Transfer RNA (tRNA) molecules are approximately 80 nucleotides in length. Their secondary structure includes four short double-helical elements and three loops (D, anti-codon, and T loops). RNAcentral also lists the same sequence under 2 other names. Lineage: Eukaryota; Metazoa; Chordata; Mammalia; Artiodactyla; Camelidae. The record is from Rfam by way of RNAcentral.
AGGGGUACAGCUCAGUGGUAGAGAACAUGCUUAGCAUGGACAAGGUCCUGGGUUCAAUCCCAGUACCUCCA